Alexandromys fortis (reed vole) is the source of this 382-nucleotide non-coding RNA. The record is from the annotation of a RefSeq genome assembly. Lineage: Eukaryota; Metazoa; Chordata; Mammalia; Rodentia; Cricetidae.
CUUCCAGCAAAGCAUGGCUGUCCUGGUGCUGCUCCUCUGCCUGGUGACAUUUCCAAGUAGUGUCUUUUCCCAGCUACAGAUGAAGGAGACAGGACCUGGCCUGGUGCAACCCUCACAGACCCUGUCUCUCACCUGCACUGUCUCUGGGUUUUCAUUAACUGACUAUGAUAUAAGCUGGGUUCGCCAGCCUCCAGGAGAGGGUCUGGAGUGGAUGGGAGCAAUAUGGAGGGGUGGAAGUACAAAGUACAGUUCACCUCUCCAGUCUCGAAUCACCAUCAGUAAGGACAACUCCAAGAGUGAAGUCUUCUUAAAAUUGAAGAGUGUGCACACUGAAGACACAGCCAUAUAUUACUGUGCCAGAAACACAGUGAGGAAACUCUAA